CACAUUGCACCAUUGGGUAUUCCCAAUGGUAUGCUUGUUUGAGCGAAUACUUCCCUAAUCCUCACGGAUUGUAUUGUGUUUGCACGAAAAUAAUGACGACAGUACUCUACAAAACGGUACCGUCAGUACACUCAUUUUUUUUCCUCAAAUCAAGUAGGACUACCCGCUGAACUUAAGCAUAUCAAUAAGCGGAGGAAAAGAAACCAACAGGGAUUGCCUCAGUAACGGCGAGUGAAGCGGCAAAAGCUCAAAUUUGAAAUCCCCCCGGGGAGUUGUAAUUUGAAGAUUGCGUCUUGGAGGCGACCGUGUCUAUGUUCCUUGGAACAGGACGUCACAGAGGGUGAGAAUCCCGUGCGGCACGGCCCCCGGCUCCUUAUAAGGCGCUCUCGACGAGUCGAGUUGUUUGGGAAUGCAGCUCAAAGUGGGUGGUAAAUUCCAUCUAAAGCUAAAUACAGGCGAGAGACCGAUAGCGAACAAGUACAGUGAUGGAAAGAUGAAAAGCACUUUGAAAAGAGAGUGAAACAGCACGUGAAAUUGUUGAAAGGGAAGGGCAUGCCGUCAGAUUGUCAGUGUGGGUAAGAAGCGGGGUACAAAGACUGUGGAACGUGGCCCUCGGGUGUUAUAGCCGCAGUUCAUGCCCCGUCUCUUUCCGAGGCCUGCUUUGAGGACACCGACGUAAUGAC
This 683-nucleotide ribosomal RNA is filed under the name Kodamaea ohmeri. RNAcentral's name for it is "eukaryotic LSU rRNA". The stretch from base 140 to 683 matches the Rfam family "Eukaryotic large subunit ribosomal RNA", at positions 1 to 543 of the family's 3401-position model. Lineage: Eukaryota; Fungi; Ascomycota; Pichiomycetes; Serinales; Debaryomycetaceae. The record is from RNAcentral.